RNAcentral lists this ribosomal RNA (468 nucleotides) under uncultured bacterium. Its description in RNAcentral is "partial 16S ribosomal RNA". It matches the Rfam family "Bacterial small subunit ribosomal RNA", at positions 28 to 507 of the family's 1533-position model. The record is from RNAcentral.
GACGAACGCUGGCGGCGUGCUUAACACAUGCAAGUCGAACGGAAAGGCCCUGCGUGUGUGGGGUGCACGAGUGGCGAACGGGUGAGUAAGACGUGUGUGACCUGCCCUAGCCUUUGGGAUAAUGUCAGGAAACUGGGGCUAAUCCCGGACAGGAGCGCCUGUUGCAUGGAGGGGGUUGGAACGUUUGGGUGGUUGGGGAUGGACUCGAGGCUUAUCUGCUUGUUGGUGGGGUAGUGGCUUACCAAGGCUUUGCAGGGACGCGGGCCUGGGAGGGUGACCGGCCACAUUGGGACUGAGAUGCGACCCAGCCUCCUCCGGUAGGCAGCAGUGCGGAGUAGUGCAUAGUGGGCGGAAGCCUGAUGCAGCCACGCCGCGUGGGGGAUGACGGCCUGGGGGUUGUAUUCUGCUUCCGCCUGUGACGAAGCGUUAGUGACGGUAAUGGGUGAAGAAGCACCGGCUAACUACGUG